AACCUACCUAUAAGACUGGGAUAACUUCGGGAAACCGGAGCUAAUACCGGAUAACAUAUUGAACCGCAUGGUUCAAUAGUGAAAGGCGGCUUUGCUGUCACUUAUAGAUGGAUCCGCGCCGUUUUAGCUAGUUGGUAAGGUAACGGCUUACCAAGGCAACGAUACGUAGCCGACCUGAGAGGGUGAUCGGCCACACUGGAACUGAGACACGGUCCAGACUCCUACGGGAGGCAGCAGUAGGGAAUCUUCCGCAAUGGGCGAAAGCCUGACGGGGCAACGCCGCGUGAGUGAUGAAGGUCUUCGGAUCGUAAAACUCUGUUAUCAGGGAAGAACAAAUGUGUAAGUAACUGUGCACAUCUUGACGGUACCUGAUCAGAAAGCCACGGCUAACUACGUGCCAGCAGCCGCGGUAAUACGUAGGUGGCAAGCGUUAUCCGGAAUUAUUGGGCGUAAAGCGCGCGUUGGCGGUUUUUUAAGUCUGAUGUGAAAGCCCACGGCUCAACCGUGGAGGGUCAUUGGAAACUGGAAAACUUGAGUGCAGAAGAGGAAAGUGGAAUUCCAUGUGUAGCGGUGAAAUGCGCAGAGAUAUGGAGGAACACCAGUGGCGAAGGCGACUUUCUGGUCUGUAACUGACGCUGAUGUGCGAAAGCGUGGGGAUCAAACAGGAUUAGAUACCCUGGUAGUCCACGCCGUAAACGAUGAGUGCUAAGUGUUAGGGGGUUUCCGCCCCUUAGUGCUGCAGCUAACGCAUUAAGCACUCCGCCUGGGGAGUACGACCGCAAGGUUGAAACUCAAAGGAAUUGACGGGGACCCGCACAAGCGGUGGAGCAUGUGGUUUAA
Molecule: ribosomal RNA, 840 nt
Filed under: Staphylococcus warneri
Lineage: Bacteria; Bacillati; Bacillota; Bacilli; Caryophanales; Staphylococcaceae
Description: bacterial SSU rRNA
Rfam family: Bacterial small subunit ribosomal RNA
Source: RNAcentral